This 2696-nucleotide small RNA is filed under the name Arabidopsis thaliana (thale cress). Its description in RNAcentral is "ATSL154230". The record is from RNAcentral. Lineage: Eukaryota; Viridiplantae; Streptophyta; Magnoliopsida; Brassicales; Brassicaceae.
UAAUAUUAUUUAUUUUUGCGUUAUAUUUUCGACACGUCAUCAGCGCGAUCGUCUCUCCAGGUGAUUGUCUAAUCGACCGAUUAUAUAUUUAUUCAAGCAUUUUUUGAGGUAACAUUUAAAUUAUAUUAAAUUUAUUUUUAUUCAUUCAUAUAAAAUUAUAUAUGUUAUUUUCAGAGUAUGAGAUUAUGUCUCCUCCUUAAUUGAAUAAUUGCUAUACCUAUUUAAAAUACAAUAAAUGGCUUAAUAAUUGAAUGAUUAUUAUUUAUAUAAACAAUCAUGUCAAAUCUGGCUAAGUUCGAUGUCGUUGCCCUUGAUGUAUCUGACAAGAAUUAUAUGAUAUGGGCAUCUGAUGUUAAGAUGCAUCUAAGAUCAAAUGAGCUUCUUAAAACCAUAGAUGUAUCUGAAACGAUAUCAGAUGAGAGCAAAGCUAAAGCCAUGAUAUUUCUACAUCACCAUCUCCACGACCAUUUAAAAAAUGAAUACAUUACAAGAGAAGAUAAUGUGGAUCUACGGCAAUCACUUAAAGAUCGUUUCGAUCAUCAAAAAUAUGUGAUUUUGCCAAAAGCCAAACAUGAAUGGCUAAAUCUUCGGUUUUUGGAUUACAAAAGUAUUGGUGGUUACAAUUCCGCCAUGUUCGGAAUCACCUCCAUGAUGAUAUUAUGUGGUGACAAAGUGAGAAAUUAUGAUAUGAUUGAAAAAACGCUCUCCACUUUUCAUCCUGGAAAUGUAAUCCUUCAACAACAAUAUCGGGCCAAAGGAUAUACUCGUUAUUCCGAUUUGAUGCAAGUCCUUUUGGAUACUGAGCAAAAUAAUGAGCUCGUGAUGGUGAAUCAUUUAUCUCGUUCACCUGGAUUAGCUCUACUCUUAUAAGUGAAUGUUGCUUCAUCCGGUGAUGAUAAUUAACAAGGACCCAGAUGUUGUUGAGGUCGUGGUCGUGGCCGAAGAAAAUGAAGAAGUUUCCAUCCCAAUGAUUGCAACACGAAAGAAACUAACAAAAACAUUCAAGUGAAUGAUGUUGGCCUAGUUAAGAAAAGGCAUGUUGAAGACACUUGCCACAAAUGCGGUAUGAAAGGACACUGGUACCAGAAGUGUCGUAUACCAAAACAUUUAGCCGAUCUGUAUCAAGCUUCGCAAAAGGAGAAAGAAAGACAUGUUGAAACUAAUCUCAUAUGUGAUGAGUCAGGACCUUCUUUUAAAGGCCAAGAUGAUGAUACUCAUUUUGAUAUGGCAGAUUUUCUUGAUUGAUCAUGACAACGAGAAAAUUAAUGUAAUAUAUUAUAACUAUAUGUAUAAUUAUGACAAGUAUUAUAGAUGUUUUUGUUUUCUGGGAUAAUGUUUUUAUUUUAUUAUAUUAUGACAUAUGAAUAAUCUAUGUCAAAGUAUUAAUGAUUAAAUAUUUUAUCUUAGAAAAAUGUCAAAAUACGAGACUGAGGAUAAAGAUAUAUGUCUGGCGGACAUUGCUUCUACGCACACUAUCUUUAAAAAUAAAAAGUAUUUCUCCUCUCUAGAAAAAAAGACUCCGCUAGAAGCAUGAGUACUAUAUAUAGUCAUGCAAAGAUAAUAUUAGGUUUUGGCGAACCCAAUUUUACAAUGCUAAGGAGAACUCAUUUUAAAGUAAAUGAUGCAUUAUAUUCCCCCAAGUCUCAUAGUGAUAAGUUUCAAAGAUAUCCAAAUUAAUGGAUAUCAUAUAGAGACUAUGAAUAAAGAUGGCAUAAAAUCCGAGAGGCAAUAUAUAUUAGAAAAUUUGCCAAUGCUAUCCUCCAGAUUAUAUUGCAUAAAAAUAAAUAUAAUCGCAUUAAAUGUCACAGUAAACUUCAGUGACAAUUACUCGAAUGAGUUUACUAGUACAUUUAAAAUAUGACAUGAAAGACUUGGACAUCGUGGUUCAGUAAUGAUGCAAAAAAAUGUACAAAAUUCUAAUGGUCAUCCAUUGAAAAACCAGAAAAUAUUUAAAUCUGGUGAGUUUUCAUGUAAAGCAUGUUCUCAAGAAAAAAUCAUAAUAAGGUCAUCGCCAACUAAAAUUGGGAAUGAAAGACCUGAAUUCUUGUCGAGAAUUCAUGAUGAUAUAUAUGGGCCAAUCCAUCCACCCUGCAGGCUGUUUCGAUAUUUUAUGGUAUUAAUUAACGCAUCUAGUAGAUUGUUACAUGUAUGUCUUUUGACUACACGAAACAUGGUUUUCGCAAGAUUCAUUGUCCAAAUAAUCAGGUUAAAGAUACAAUUUCUUGAUUAUGCCAUAAAGAAAGCCAGACUUGAUAUUGUUGGGAAAUUUACUUCGCAAGCCUUUAACGAUUAUUGUGUAUCGAUGGGAAUCGAUAUAGAGCGUCCGGUCCCUCAUGUUCAUACACAAAAUGACAUGGCCGAAUUAUUAAUUAAACGGUUGCAACUUAUUGCUACACCGUUAACAUUGAGAACAAAACUCUCGAUUUCUAUAUGAGGUCAUAUGCUAUAUUACAUGCUGCAGCUUUAUUCAUACUACUAGAUUAUAACCCGCGGUACACCGCGGGGCUAUUGUUUUUCAGUGAAAUUAAAUAUUAUUUUGUUAUUUUUGUUUUAAUAAUACUUUAAUUUAAAAAAUAUAUAAUUCAAAUCAAUUUAAAAGUUUUCUUUCAAAUGGUUAUCUAAUUUUUAUAAAGUUCAUAUGAUAUAAUAUUAUAAACCCGUCCUACCAUCUUAUCCCGUUCGGUAAAACAAAACAU